RNAcentral lists this long non-coding RNA (1261 nucleotides) under Malus domestica (apple). RNAcentral describes it as "long non-coding RNA (MDOM_LNC006971)". Lineage: Eukaryota; Viridiplantae; Streptophyta; Magnoliopsida; Rosales; Rosaceae. The record is from RNAcentral.
AGAAAACUAAAGCACAAUCCUAAUCCUUAAAGGAUAUAGAAAAUUCUAACAUUCUUGUCCCACAAGAAAACCAUAAACAAAAAUAAACUAAUAACUAAUUUUUCCAACACGUGUGACCCGCACGCACUAUCGAGGUUGUAAAUGACAGGGUUUAAAACCAGGUUCGACCGGCGUCCAUGCAUGCCUGCGCAUUUUUGCCAAAAGUUUAACAAUACUAACUGUUGCAGUACAUUUGUAUGCUGAUGUUGCUAUAUCGACCAUCUCGGUGUUCUCUGUGUGGGGCAGUUUCUAGCUGGGAUGACCCUCCCUGUGGAUCGCUUUAUGACCAGUGAUUUAAGGAUUGAAAUUCUCGGAGCCCUACUUCCCAUCCAACUCAUAUGGCUGUUCUCUGGGAUCUUGGUGUAUGAAGGCAUAGUGAAAACCAUUGACAACACAGCUGAGGUGCCGUUAAAAUGUUUUCUGAUGGCAUAGUUUGUCUUUGGGGAAGUGUGAUCAUGGCCUUACCUCUGGACCACGUUAACUGUUGAAGAACAAGAUGGUGAUUUUCGUCACAGCCACGAAAUGAAAUUUUCUAGUACUCGUAAUGAUCGUAAACGCUCACAUGAUCAUGAUGCUGCUGAUCAGCAUCAACCACUAUUGGAUAAGCCUUCACAAGAAAGAUACGAAAAGAUAAGGCAAAGGUGUAUAAAAGUACUCCGUUCAUGCUAUUACUGAUUUGCCCGGCAAUCAUAUUGGGCCUGAGGGGAAGGUUUUGUUUUGAUUUGCACCCUAUUUUUUCUUUGACUGUUCUGUGGAAGACUGUCAACAUGCUGCAUAACGUACAUGGUGUCGUGAUGGGAAGCACGCCUAGAGAGACUGAUGUGAAGAGGACUUGAAAAGAAGCUGUUGGAGAUGGAGGAAAUGGUGGCUGUAAAUGAAAUGCAUAUUGGUGCUAUCACAAUGCGAUUAGCCCUUCAGGCUUGCAAUGUGGAAAGACCAGAAUGGAUUAUAUCAGAGCUGGGUAUAGCUUCAGCAGUGUCAAUCUGCAAAUUGAUUGUUAGUGUUGGGUUCUAGAUUUGGAGGACAAAGUUGAUUGAUUAUAGAAACCUUUGUUUGUUUGCAUCACCAAGAUUUUUUGUUUCCUCCAGAUUUCUCGUCGUCCCCGACUUUCGAUUUUUCGUUUUCUGGUUGUUGUCUCUCUUUAAUUGUACAUCGGACAGACCUUUUAAGGGCAGGAUGUUCCUUAUUUAUUAAAGGGUGAAUUGUUGAUAUAGUAUCGAGU